CCCGCCUGCAUGAAGCCGGAAUCGCUAGUAAUCGCGGAUCAGAAUGCCGCGGUGAAUACGUUCCCGGGUCUUGUACACACCGCCCGUCACACCAUGGGAGUCGAUAACGCCCGAAGUCAGUGACCCAACCGAGAGGAGGGAGCUGCCGAAGGCGGGAUUGAUAACUGGGGUGAAGUCGUAACAAGGUACC
This 190-nucleotide ribosomal RNA is filed under the name uncultured bacterium. Its description in RNAcentral is "partial 16S ribosomal RNA". It matches the Rfam family "Bacterial small subunit ribosomal RNA", at positions 1311 to 1500 of the family's 1533-position model. The record is from RNAcentral.